AACAACGGGUGGAGCCUGCGGUUUAAUUGGACUCAACGCCGGACAACUCACCGGGGACGACAGCAAUAUGUAGGUCAGGCUGAAGACCUUACCUGAAUCGCUGAGAGGAGGUGCAUGGCCGUCGCCAGUUCGUACUGUGAAGCAUCCUGUUAAGUCAGGCAACGAGCGAGACCCGUGCCCACUGUUACCAGCAUAUCCUCCGGGAUGAUGGGUACUCUGUGGGGACCGCCGGUGUUAAAUCGGAGGAAGGUGCGGGCCACGGUAGGUCARUAUGCCCCGAAUUUCCCGGGCUACACGCGGGCUACAAUGAAUGGGACAAUGGGUCCCUCCCCUGAAAAGGGCUGGUAAUCUCACAAACCCAUCCUUAGUUCGGAUCGAGGGCUGUAACUCGCCCUCGUGAAGCUGGAAUCCGUAGUAAUCGCGUUUCAAUAUAGCGCGGUGAAUACGUCCCU
Molecule: ribosomal RNA, 452 nt
Filed under: uncultured archaeon
Lineage: Archaea
Description: bacterial SSU rRNA
Rfam family: Archaeal small subunit ribosomal RNA
Source: RNAcentral